AAUCAAAACUUUGUCAUGUCACCGGUUGUUCGUUACAGAGACACUACUUCGUGGUUAUUUUGAUUAUCUAUGGAUAAUAUUUGUAGUGCAUGUUGUCAAAUUUGAUAUUUUAACCUAAGUAAAUUUUGUAAUUAAAUAACGUUUUUUGAGGGAUUUUAAUCAAUUAUUUUUUAUUUUACUUUACUAAUAAUAUGUAAUUCUCUUUUAGUAUUAGCAAGUUACGUUUCUUUUGUAAUGUAUGUGACAUAUUUCUCUUUGUUGGGUUUGUAUCAGCAUUGUAACAGCCCGUUUAUUUUAUCGAUUUAAUAGUAAUUGGUUUAACUUUUUUCGUAGGAUUUUGUUUCAUUAAGGAUUAAAAUAUGUUGGGUUUAUUGACCACUUAAUAACAAAAAUCAUCUGUAAUAUCCAGAAAAACAUUCGAGUGGUAGUUAUUUUGUGAAAUAAUUAUGAUUUAAUGUGAUUGCUGAUUAUAAACAAUAUUCAGUAUUGUAAACAAUUUCCUUAUAGAAGAGAAAUCCUUACAUGCCACUACUCUAGGAAUAUUUUCGACUGCAUAUUCGAUCUAUAAAAAAAGUACCUGGACGUAUUUGUUUUGGAGUUUUCUCUCAGUGUUUUGGGUUGUUGACUAUAGAAGUGAACACAACAGUGUUGUUAUUCCUUCAAAAUCAUGCACACUAUUCAGAAUAGUAGAAUUAACUUUUUUAUCUUUUCCUUAAAUUUAAAAUUAAUUUCUCUCUCAUUAAACGAAAAUUUUUAGGCAUCAGUAAUUACCAACUUAACGACGUAGUCUUUAUUUCUUCAUAAAUCAAUUUUUCCUUUAUUAAAGCAACUGAAAGUACCACAAUGUAACAAAAUAGUUUUGGGUGGAUACAAAUUAAAAUUAUGUGGCUGAAACUUACUCUUGAAUCCUCUUUAUGAAAACUGUCUAUAAUAUAAUUGAACUACAACUCGAAAAUUACUUUAAGAAUGUUUUUGGGGGCUUGUUACAGAAACAAAAUUGCCUUGCUAAAAUUGCGUUCAAUCAUUUGCUAAAGAAAUGUUCAUUGGUUCAAGAUCAUUUUUCCUUCUACAAGCUAGCUUUAUGAUUUAUGAAGAGUCUGCAAAUAAAACAAAUAUUAAUUGGUUUAAAAGAAA
This is a long non-coding RNA of Agrilus planipennis (emerald ash borer), 1134 nucleotides long. RefSeq lists it as uncharacterized. The transcript has 2 exons. The record is from RefSeq and is a predicted model, not a curated record. Lineage: Eukaryota; Metazoa; Arthropoda; Insecta; Coleoptera; Buprestidae.